RNAcentral lists this ribosomal RNA (849 nucleotides) under uncultured bacterium. RNAcentral describes it as "bacterial SSU rRNA". It matches the Rfam family "Bacterial small subunit ribosomal RNA", at positions 60 to 918 of the family's 1533-position model. The record is from RNAcentral.
AGUCGAACGAUGAACCUGGAGCUUGCUCUAGGGAAUUAGUGGCGAACGGGUGAGUAACACGUGAGUAACCUGCCCUUGACUCUGGGAUAACCUCCGGAAACGGAAGCUAAUACCGGAUAUGACGCACGGAGGCAUCUCCUGUGCGUGGAAAGAAUUUCGGUCAAGGAUGGACUCGCGGCCUAUCAGGUAGUUGGUGAGGUAACGGCUCACCAAGCCUACGACGGGUAGCCGGCCUGAGAGGGUGACCGGCCACACUGGGACUGAGACACGGCCCAGACUCCUACGGGAGGCAGCAGUGGGGAAUAUUGCACAAUGGGCGCAAGCCUGAUGCAGCAACGCCGCGUGAGGGAUGACGGCCUUCGGGUUGUAAACCUCUUUUAGUAGGGAAGAAGCGAAAGUGACGGUACCUGCAGAAAAAGCACCGGCUAACUACGUGCCAGCAGCCGCGGUAAUACGUAGGGUGCGAGCGUUGUCCGGAAUUAUUGGGCGUAAAGAGCUCGUAGGCGGUCCGUCGCGUCUGCUGUGAAAACCCGAGGCUCAACCUCGGGCCUGCAGUGGGUACGGGCAGACUAGAGUGCGGUAGGGGAGAAUGGAAUUCCUGGUGUAGCGGUGGAAUGCGCAGAUAUCAGGAGGAACACCGAUGGCGAAGGCAGUUCUCUGGGCCGUAACUGACGCUGAGGAGCGAAAGCGUGGGGAGCGAACAGGAUUAGAUACCCUGGUAGUCCACGCCGUAAACGUUGGGCGCUAGAUGUGGGGACCAUUCCACGGUUUCCGUGUCGCAGCUAACGCAUUAAGCGCCCCGCCUGGGGAGUACGGCCGCAAGGCUAAAACUCAAAGGAAUUGACGGGG